UUAGAGUUUGAUCAUGGCUCACAACGUACGCUGGCGGCACGCCUAACACAUGCAAGUCGAACGAAGUAGCAAUACUUAGUGGCAGACGGGUGAGUAACAUGUGGGUAUCUGCCCUUUGGCCUGGAAUAACACGAGGAAACUUGUGCUAAUACUGGAUAAGUCUUUACGGAGAAAGCUUUAUGCACCAUUGGAUGAGCCCGCACUUGAUUAGUUUGUUGGUGGGGUAAUGGCCUACCAAGACUUUGAUCAAUAGCUGAUUUGAGAGGAUGAUCAGCCACAUUGGGACUGAGACACGGCCCAAACUCCUACGGGAGGCAGCAGUGGGGAAUCUUGCACAAUGGAGGAAACUCUGAUGCAGCGAUGCCGCGUGAGUGAAGAAGGCCUUUGGGUUGUAAAGCUCUUUCGUCGGGGAAGAAAAUGACUGUACCCGAAUAAGAAGGUCCGGCUAACUUCGUGCCAGCAGCCGCGGUAAUACGAAGGGACCUAGCGUAGUUCGGAAUUACUGGGCUUAAAGAGUUCGUAGGUGGUUGAAAAAGUUGGUGGUGAAAUCCCAGAGCUUAACUCUGGAACUGCCAUCAAAACUUUUCAGCUAGAGUUUGAUAGAGGAAAGCAGAAUUUCUAGUGUAGAGGUGAAAUUCGUAGAUAUUAGAAAGAAUACCAAUUGCGAAGGCAGCUUUCUGGAUCAUUACUGACACUGAGGAACGAAAGCAUGGGUAGCGAAGAGGAUUAGAUACCCUCGUAGUCCAUGCCGUAAACGAUGUGUGUUAGACGUUGGAAAUUUAUUUUCAGUGUCGCAGCGAAAGCGAUAAACACACCGCCUGGGGAGUACGACCGCAAGGUUAAAACUCAAAUGAAUUGACGGGGACCCGCACAAGUAGUGGAGCAUGUGGUUUAAUUCGAAGAUACGCGCAGAACCUUACCAACACUUGACAUGUUCGUCGCGACUUUAAGAGAUUAAAGUUUUCGGUUCGGCCGGACGAAACACAGGUGCUGCAUGGCUGUCGUCAGCUCGUGUCGUGAGAUGUUGGGUUAAGUCCCGCAACGAGCGCAACCCUCACUUUUAGUUGCCAUCAUUUAGUUGGGCACUCUGAAAGAACUGCCAGUGAUAAGCUGGAGGAAGGUGGGGAUGACGUCAAGUCCUCAUGGCCCUUACGUGUUGGGCUACACACGUGCUACAAUGGUAUCUACAACAGGAAGCGAAACAGCGAUGUUAAGCAAAUCCUUAAAAGAUACCUCAGUUCGGAUUGCACUCUGCAACUCGAGUGCAUGAAGCUGGAAUUACUAGUAAUCGUGGAUCAGCGUGCCACGGUGAAUGCGUUCCGCGGGUCUUGUACACACCGCCCG
This 1344-nucleotide ribosomal RNA is filed under the name unidentified marine bacterioplankton. Its description in RNAcentral is "bacterial SSU rRNA". It matches the Rfam family "Bacterial small subunit ribosomal RNA". The record is from RNAcentral.